Molecule: long non-coding RNA, 41066 nt
Filed under: Gossypium raimondii (Peruvian cotton)
Lineage: Eukaryota; Viridiplantae; Streptophyta; Magnoliopsida; Malvales; Malvaceae
Description: long non-coding RNA (GRAI_LNC009644)
Source: RNAcentral
CUGCAGAGGCUGCUACAUGCAAAGGAGUAUGGAAAAAAGGUACAUCAUCGAUACGCUGAAAAACAUAUGGAUCAUUCAGAAUUAACUCAUACAAGAUGUUUAUGUCUCCUGUUUGUGCAGCACCUAUCAUCCUCUCAUCCAUAGCAAGGUGCGGAAAUUUGCAGAAUAUAGAAAUGGAGUGAAGAAAAAACGCUUUAGCAGACGAUGUGAUUAUGUUAAGGAUAUACUGAAGUGUUUGAUUAUUUUUUCCAGAUGGAGUGUGUGACAUUUUAUAGCACUUAAUUAUUUUGGAUUUAUAUGUGAUGUCAGCCACUACACGUAUACAUGUGAAUGUCACCUAUUAGAAAGAAAUAGUAAUUAUAUUUAGUAAUUAAAUUCAUAUUUAAUAUAUAUUUUUAAUCUAAUUUUUUAACUCAAUUUAAUUUUAGUUAAAACGUUUAAAAACAUUUAUUUAAUUUCUUUAAUAUAUUAAAUAAAUUGAAUUAGAGAAUAUAUUAAAUAUGGAUGAAUACUAUAUCAUACUAAUUUUAUGUCUCUAAAAAUUAAUAAGGUGUCAUUAUUUUAUUGGUGCUUAAAAAAUUAAAAUAUUUAGAAUCAUCCUAAUAUAAGUUAUUCUAUUAAUAAUAAUAUUUUGUACUCCCACGAGUAAGUUCAAUAGUUUGACAAAUAUCUUAUAAAAGUAUAGUAAAAUAUAAAAAAAAUUAUUUAGUGACUUAAUUUUUUAAGAACAUUUGAUAAUUUAUAAAGAAAAUAAAUAAUAAUUUUUUUCAAUAAAAAAAGUGUGAAAAAAUGAUAAGUAGAUAAUAACUAUUAUCACUUACAACAUGUUUGGAUUAAAAAGAUAGAAAAAAGGAGGGAAAAUUAAGUAAAAUGAGGGAAAGAAAAUUCGGUUUCUUUGUUUAAGUUAAGUAAAUAUCGUAUUAUUAGAUUUUAUAUUUUAGGGUCUGUUUGAUUGAAGGAAUUGAUUUUCCGGAAAAUCAUUUCCAACUUUUCCAGCAUUUGAUUGGCGGAAAACAUUUUCCAUUUGGAAAAUGAACUCCAAAACAUGGGAAAAUGGGUUACAUUUUAGGGAAAAUGUCUUACCCUUUCAAUUUCCGUAAGACAUUUUCCGUGCUCUCCUCUCUAUCGCCUCAUUCAUUCCUUCCUUCAUUUCCGGUAAAAAAUUGUUACUGUUUAUCGAUUUUCUAGUAACUUGUUUUUUUAAUUAUUCAAUACUUGUUUUUUUAACACAAUUACAAAUAAUUUAUUUGAUAUUAAUUUUUUUCAAUUUAUAAUGAUUAAUAUUGUAGCUUAAUAAUUGAGUAUUAUUAUAAAUAAAUCAUUGCAAUAUAUGUAAAAAUAAUUUAAAAUAUAAAAAAUUAUUAAUAUAUAUCAAUAUAUGUAAAAACAAUUUUUUCGAAAAAUAUUUCCAAGAAAUCUGCCAAACAGCCGAAAAUAUUUUACACAGAUUUAAUCAAACACCAGAAAAUAUUUUCCACUAAAUCAUUUUACAGAAAAGUAAAAUAUUUUCCCGAAAUCAUUUUACGGAAAAUAUUUUACUGGCAAUCAAACAGACCCUUAGAUUAUUAUCUCUUCUUCUUCUUCUUCUUUUAACUUGUAACCAUCUUAUUUUUAUUUUUUAUUUGUUUAGGUUACUAGAAAUAUUUAAUUUUAAAUUUGUUUGAUAUAUAUUUUUAAAAAUUUUAACAAUAUUUUUUAUUAACUAUUUUGUUAAAUUAUUAGGAAUCCUUCAUUUGUAAUUUGGUUAGGAUAUAUUUUUUAGUUUGAUCAAAUAAGCUUAUUUAAAAAAAAAGAGAAUAUACCAAUAUAUUAUUGGUUAACAUUUUAAUUAUUAUUUUAUAUAGACUAUUGAUAUUGUUCUAUAAUUUUAAUUUGCUGUGAUUUAAUUUUGUUAUUAUAUAUUAUUUAUGAACUGUUAAAAUUAAAAAAUAAAAGUAAAAUAAUUCAUUUUCUUUCCUUUUCACAGUUUAGCAAAACAAGUCCACAAGGUCGCCCCAUUCAACAAAAAUUAAAUUGUUUAAAUAUAUAUAUGUAUAUAGGGACUAGUUUUAACAAAUGAAAAAUAUAGAAAAACUACAUUAAAAAAAUGGAGAAUGGAGGAAAACAGAGGGAGAAGCAGAAGACAAUAAAAAAUAAAGGAAAGUUAAAAGAACAUAAAAAAAAUUAAAUUGAAUUGCUCAAAAUGAAAAAAAUAUGGGGAUCAGUUGUAUAAAUCACCCUAAAUUUUUUGUUUGAAAGAUGAUUUAACAUGUCACAUCAGCUUAUCGUUAUAUGGUUAACGGAAAUUAACAGCUCAGUGACUAAAAUGUUACAACGCGAUAACGUAAGUGACUAAAAUGUAACAUUUCAAACAUAAAUGACUAAAAUGUAAGCAAAAGUGACUAUUUUAAUAAUUUACCCUUACAUUUAUCUAAACAUACUCUUAAUGUAAACAUUUUUCAAUUAUUUUUAUUUCAUUUUAUUUUUAACCAUUAUCCAUUAUCCUUACUUUAAAAAGUAUAAUUAAUAAAUCGUAUAAUUAUUUUUCAAAAUUAAUUUUAAGUAAUACACCAAAUAGAUUUUAUAACUUAAAUUUAAUAUUUAAGUUUAUAAUAUUUUUUUAUCAAACAACAUUUACUCCUAAGUAAAUAAAUAAAUAAAGGCCUUGUGUAAUUAAGAAAGUUGAGAAAGGGUUAAUCCUCACAUGGAAAAAAUUGGCUACAAUAAUGAAGGAAAGAGAAAAACACUAAGGAAUAUCCAAUAAUUGGGAGGCAAUAUGUCAAUUAUGAGCAUACCCCAUACUGUCAAUGGUGAUGGAUGAAUUGUCUACUAUACAUGGAUUUUGUUUUCCCUUUUUUUUUUCUUUUUUUUUUGUUCUUGUCCUGUAUUAUUUGGAUUUGAGAUCCCAAGCUAUGUAUGUCAUCACAUUUUAAAUAUAUAUAUAUAUUUAUUAUGUAUUGAAUAUCAGUUUUAUUGGUAUAAAUAUUAUUGUUAAUGUAUGAGAAUAUAGGUUCAAGUGUGCACUACACCAAAACAGGCUUUUAGCGGCGUUUUGAGCGAAGACGCUGCUAAAAAUCGAGAAAUAGCAGCGUUUUAGGAAAAGCGCCGCUAAAGAGUGAGCAUUAGCGGCGUUUAAGUAAAAGUGCCGCUAAAGAGUGAGCAUUAGCAGUGUUUAUAAAAAACGCCGCAAAUAAUACACCUAGACGGUGCCGUUUUAUGUCCUUUCGGGGGAAUUAGUGGCGUUUUUUGUAAAGCGCCGCUAAGGCUAAGACUUUUAGUGGCGUUUUUUGAAAAUCGUCGCUAAUCUAGGUGUUUUAGCGGCGUUUUUUGUUUAUGCGCCGCAAAAAUAAUUUAUCUUAAUUGAACUAUUAUUUAUAUUGUUUAAAUCAAAUUAAACAUAUUUCUAAUAGAAUAUUUAAAAUCUUCAAUAAAAAAUUACAGGUAUAAAUAAUUUGAAAUAAAACACAUGGAAAAAUUAAAAUAGUAUUAUUUAAAAUAAUUUUAAAGUUUGUUGGGUACAUUACUGAUUGUUUUUUAAUUUAUAUAUUAAAAAUUUGAAAUUAUUAUCGUAAUUAAAAGAGAUAGUAUUAAUUUAAAUUUAAAAUAUUGAAUUAAGCGUAUCACUAUAGUUAAUAUAGGGUUUUAGGUUUUAGGGGUAUAUAUAUGAUAUUAUUAAUUUAAGAUUUUAAGUCGAUUUAGGGGUUACUAUUUUAAGGUUAUUAUUAUAAUUGAUCAGGAGUAUAUAUAUAAUAUUUGAUUUAAGGAUAUGGUUUAAGGGCUGAGAUAUAAUGUUUAGGGGUUAGGGCUGGGGUUAGCACUUAGGGGCUAUUAAUUAGGAGUUAAUUAAGGAUUUAGGGUUUAGUUAGGGGUUGGGUUAGGGAACGUAGGGUUUUAGAUUAAUUAGUAUUGCCAAAUUAUAUUUUAAAUAUGUUCUUAUAUAUAUAAUUGUAAAAGAGGUAAUAAUAAAUUUGUUUAGGAUUUUUCGGUUCGGUAUAUGAUUUGGUUUCGGUAUAUUAUUAAUUUAAAUACGAAUUUGAAUAGUAAUGCUCAAAUAUAUAAUUCAUGAAUAACACUUAAAUACUUAAAUAAAUUUGUGAAUUUGAAUUGAAAUCAUCCAAAAUAUGCAUAUACCUGAGUCGGUAUCUUUCCUAUUUUGAUCACUUCAAUAAAAAAAUCCCAUAUAUAUAUAUUUAGUACUCCUUAUUUGUUUUCAUUAAUUUAUCUAUUUGAUGAAGAUCAAUAUAUAAAUUAGUUAAUUAGACAAAUUUAUUCAUUUAUCAAUAAAAUANNNNNNNNNNNNNNNNNNNNNNNNNNNNNNNNNNNNNNNNNNNNNNNNNNNNNNNNNNNNNNNNNNNNNNNNNNNNNNNNNNNNNNNNNNNNNNNNNNNNAAUAUUAUAAAUUUCAAAUUUUAUACAAAAAAAUAAAUAUUAUAAAGAUAAUAUUGUUUAUUGCUACUUUAUACAAAAAGUUUUUAGUAUUAAUUAUUCUUUAAUCAAUUAUAACUAUUUUAUGAUAUUUAUUAAAGAUUUAGGGAUUAUUUUGGAUGGCCGUGCUAUUUUAAGGAUUAGGGGUACAGAUUUAGGGUUUGGGAUAUAAGAGUUAUCUAGGGGUUUAGGGGUUACAAGUUAUGAUUUAGGGGUUAAAGAUUUAAGGUUUAGGGGUUUAGGGGUCGGAUAAGGAUUUUAGGUUAGUUUAGAUUAAUUUCUUUAAAUAAUUUUUUAAAAAACCAAUCUAAAGUACCAAUUGAUAUAUUUAAAUAUUAUUUUAAAUAGAAUUCAUAAAUAAGUUAAAAAAUAUAUUGAUUUAUAUUAUAUGGAUAUGGUUAUAUAUAUUUAGGUAUAAUUAUUUAUUUUGGAAAUAUAUAUAUAGGACCAAAUACAUAAGAAAUGAAGUAAAAAAAUAAUAAAAAAUUUUAAAACGGCGCCGUUUUCGAAUGAAUAGUUAAACUUUUAGUGGCGUUUUAACUAUUAAACGCCGCAAAUAUGGGAAAGCAGUCGUGGCGUUUGUACAAGAAACGCCGCAAAAGUGUCUUUAAAAUUUGAGUAAACGACACCAUCUGUCUACACGAUUUUUAACUUAUAAAAAGUUUAGAAUUAUUUACUUGAAACGUCACCAUUUGGCUUGUUGUACGUUAAGUAUUAGUGGCGUUUUUACAAAAAGCCACAAAAUGUACAAUUUGAGAACCAAAAAACAGCGCCGUUUCUGCAUACAGGUUUAAAUUUUUAUGGCGUUUUCGCAAAAACGCAGGAAAUUUAGGAAGCAAUAGCGGCGUUUUUCAGUAAACGCCGCAAAAGGGUAUUAAAAUAAUGUCUAAACGGUGCCGUUUCUGUACAUGAUUUGUAACUUAGAAAAAUUUUAGAAUUAUUUAUUCAAAACAUCAAUUAAGUAUUCGUGGCGUUUUUACACAAAACGCAACUAAUAAUACAAUUUGAGACUAGCAAAACGACGCCAUUUCUGUUUAAAACUUGAACUUUUAGUGGCGAUUUUAUAUCAAACGCCGCAAAUGGGUUUUAAAAAAAUGGGUAAACGGCGUCAUUUCUGUACAGUAUAUUUUACUUUGACAAAAUUUAGUGGCAUUUGUGCUUAAAACGCCAGAAAUAAUGCAAUUCCAGACCACGAAAACGGUGUCGUUUCUGUUCACAGCUGUAAUACGUAGUGGCGUUUUUAGGAAAACGCCGGAAAUGUGGAAGAAGUUGCGGCGUUUGUACCUAAAACGCCGCAAAACGAUGUUAAUAUAAUGGCUAAACGACAUCGUUUCCGUAACCGAUUUUUAACUUAUAAAAAUCUUAGAAUAAUAUAUUUAAAACGUCACCAUUUGGCUUAAAAUAGAUUAAGCAUACAGGUUUAAAUUUUUAUGGCAUUUUCGUAAAAACGCAGGAAAUUUAGGAAGCAAUAGCGGCGUUUUUCAAUAAACGCCACAAAAGGGUAUUAAAAUAAUGUCUAAACGGCGCCGUUUCUGUACAUGAUUUGUAACUUAGAAAAAUUUGAGAAUUAUUUAUUCAAAACAUCAAUUAAGUAUUUGUGGCGUUUUUACACAAAACGCAACUAAUAAUACAAUUUGAGACUAGCAAAACGACGCCAUUUCUGUUUAAAACUUGAACUUUUAGUGGCGAUUUUAUAUCAAACGCCGCAAAUGGGUUUUAAAAAAAUGGGUAAACGGCGUCAUUUCUGUACAGUAUAUUUUACUUUGACAAAUUUUAGUGGCAUUUGUGCUUAAAACGCCAGAAAUAAUGCAAUUCCAGACCACGAAAACGGUGUCGUUUCUGUUCACAGCUGUAAUAUGUAGUGGCGUUUUUAGGAAAACGCCGAAAAUGUGGAAGAAGCUGCGGCGUUUGUACCUGAAACGCCACAAAACGGUGUUAAUAUAAUGGCUAAACGACAUCGUUUCCAUAACUGAUUUUUAACUUAUAAAAAUCUUAGAAUAAUAUAUUUAAAACGUCACCGUUUGGCUUAAAAUAGAUUAAGUAUAAGUGGCGGUUUUUAUUAAACGCCACAAAAAAUGCAAUUUCAGAGUAACAGAACGGCGCCGUUUCUGUUAAAAGGUUUAAUUUUUUGUGGCGUUUGGUCUAUAAACGCCAGAAAUUUGGAAUAAGUAGUGGCGUUUUUUCAAGAAACGCCGCAAAUGUGUUUUAAUAUUUUUUUCUCAACGAUGCCGUUUCCGCAGAUGUUCUUUAACUUAGCAUUUACACUCGACAAAGCACAAAAAGCAAAAGCCAAGUGCAGAGGCCAAUUGGGAAGGGGAAAAAACCUAAGAAAAAAAUCUAAGGAAGAAAGUGGAGGAGAAAUCAGAAAUCAUCAAAAAGGAAGCAACGAUUGCGUCAUUCUUGACAGUAGUUGCAGAAUUUCUGGUUAAAAGGUAUGCGUUUAAUCCUUCUGAAGAACAUCGUCUUGAUUUAGGGUAAUUUUGGGUGCAUUGUGUUUUGCAAAUUUGGGGUUUAGGAAAAAAAUUUAGAUUUUAGGGUUUGCGGUUUAGGUUAAAACACCAUUCUUGUUUGGGAAUUUGGGGAACUUGUAAAUUAUUUAUUUAGCAAUUUAAAUAGAAGGGUUUAUUUAGGAAAAAUUUGUGUAUUUAGGGGUUGCCUGAAUACAAAUAUGGGUCCUUAACACAGCCUGUUGUUUCUCCAUUACAGCGAUUUUUGGAGAAGCAUAAAAGGGUAAGGACAGCCCUUCUGGUUGUGGUAGUAUUUGGUGCUUCUAUGGUCAUCUUUAUGGCUGUGGAUUCUAGAGUUUAAUCUCGGUUCCUCUUAAACAUAUGUGGCAACUAGGACAAUAAGCAAAACUAUUAAUCAUGACAGUAUAUAUGAUUAUGGAUGGUGCUAGUGAGCUUGAGAAUACAUUCCCUUUAAUAGCUCUACUAAUAUUUUGCAUAUGGACUAGACAAGAGAUACCAAUAAAUAACUCGUCUGGUCUUACACCUGAAAGACUCAAAUUAACACAGAUUUAAACCCAAGCUAGCUGGUGAAGGUUAAACAAACCAUUUUCCUAAAAUUUUCUUGGCUGAGCCAUUAUUCGGACCAUGCAAUCAUUGUUGCAAUAGUGCAUAAUUAUGUUUGAUUCGUUUAGUGUGCUUAUUUCUCAGCUGGACAUAGUUGAUCUCCCAUGACAGAGUUAUGGAUACUGAUAUCAGAAGUUCUUUAAUGAACAUAGUGGUGUCAUCCUAACUUCCACAUUACUUUGAUAACUUUAAUUGGUUGCAUUAUUCCUCCUAUCUAUAGUAUAUUGUUUGUGGUGGAUGGUUUGACAUGUCUCAGUGCUGAUGUUUCAUUAUUCAAAUAAGAUUUUUAAUUUUGGAUUUUGUUAUAUUUAAGCUUUAUACUAAUUUUUUCCUAGUACUAACUUACUUGUGUUUUCCUUUUUAUUUUUUUUUUGCAGUAGUUUGCUUCGAAGUCCAGGAAAUUGAGGUAUUUAUUCCUAUGUUUCCCACCUUGGUUUUCUUAAAAAAACACCUCCAAAUGUUUAAAUUUUGGAUUUUGUUAUAUUUUAUCUAUGUACUUUAAUUAUUAUUUUUGAGUUUUAAAAGGGAGUUUUAAUUAAGAAUUUUUUUUAAGUUGUGGGUAUCGGUUUUAAUUAUCAUUUUUGAUUUAUAUGUUGCUAGCUCAAUUUGCAUGUUACUUUGCCAAAUUUUUCCAUAACUGCAAGGUAUAAAUUAUGAUUGUAAAUCUUGUACGUAUUUUUUACCCAAGCAAAAACAAUUACGCAAAUUAUUAAAAUUCUUAAAUCACUUUAUAUAUUGGAGUAAGUGAAUAAAUUAUGGGCGAAUAGUGGAUUCGUUUUAAAGUGAACAAAUUAUCGAUUUUCAAUUUUAUGCCAAUUAAUAAAUUAUCGACGUUAGUUCUCAUUUAUGCAAUUGAAUGUUAAUGUUUAAUAAUAUAUGAUUAUUCAAUAAAUUGAUCUAUUAAUUGAUUGAAUGUCAAUGAAUUAUCAAUUUUUGUAAGUUAAUUUGGUUAAAUUUAUUACUUAAAUACAUUACUUACUAAAAUUUGUUUAAAUUUAUUACUUAAAUAUGUUACUUAAAUACAUUACUUACUAAAAUUUAAGUAUAUAUUACAUUACUUACAUAACUUGUUAAAAUAUAUUAUAAUUUUAAAAAUAAUUAUAAUUAAGAUACAUAAAAGUGCAAUACUUACAUCAUACAUUAUUUACACAACCAAAAAUUGAAAUUUACAAGAACUUACAUAACUUGUUAAUAUUUAUAUAAACUUACAUAACUAUCACAUAAACUUACAUAAUAUNNNNNNNNNNNNNNNNNNNNNNNNNNNNNNNNNNNNNNNNNNNNNNNNNNNNNNNNNNNNNNNNNNNNNNNNNNNNNNNNNNNNNNNNNNNNNNNNNNNNNNNNNNNNNNNNNNNNNNNNNNNNNNNNNNNNNNNNNNNNNNNNNNNNNNNNNNNNNNNNNNNNNNNNNNNNNNNNNNNNNNNNNNNNNNNNNNNNNNNNNNNNNNNNNNNNNNNNNNNNAUACAUUAUUUACAUAUUAACUUACAUAAGUUAUCUACAAGCUUGUGGUUAAACUUGCAUAACUUACAUAAUAACAUAACAACUUACAUAAUACAUAGCAUACAUAACUUACAUAACUUACAUAAUACAAAACUUACAUAACUUAAAUAUCUUACACAACUUACAUAACGUACAUAAUACAUAACUUACAUAAUACAUAAUAACUUACAACUUACAUAACAUACAUGACUUUGAUAACUUACAUAACUUACAUAAUACACAACUUGUUAAGCUUACUUAAUACAUAACUUACAUAACUUAUACACGUACAUAACUUACAUAAUUUACUUAAUACAUAAAUAUAUAUCAUAUGAUAUACUUACAUAACUCAUUUAUACUUACCACUCAACAACUUACCCUUGUAAUUUCUGGUGAAAAUCAGACGUCAAGAAAUAAGAAAUGGACCGGUCUUGGAUGAAUUUAUCAAGGGUAAGUGACGGUUAUCGAAAUGGAGUACAGACUUUUCUAAAUUUUGCAUUUCAAUAUGCAAGCCAGGAGAACAUGAUUCUUUGCCCGUGUAAGAAGUGUGUCAACAUAAACUCGCAUUAUCGUGAAGUGUGUCAAUAUGAAAACGAUGGGUUUGUUCGGGGUUAUAAACAAUGGUUUUUUCAUGGAGAAUGCCCGCCUAGUACUUCCUCAUCAAGGAUGGAUGUAUCUUAUGACAGUACUACUUACCAUCAGUCUGUUAGAGGGGAUGGCAUGGAAGGGAUGUUGCGGGAAGCAUUUAAUAUUCACAACCAUGGUUUACAGUCGUUCCCAGCCGACUUUGUGGCACCUGAUGAUUGUAAUAUCGGUGGAAAUGCUUUUACCGAACCUGAAAGAAGUGUACAUCAUGAAGAGCCGAAUGGAGAAGUGGCAAAGUUCUACGUGCUACUUAAUGACAUGAAUGAAGAACUGUUUGAGGGAUCAAAAUUCUCGAAAUUAUCUUUCUGUAUUCGUCUUUUCCAGUUAAAGUGUUUGGGAGGGUGGACCGGGAACUCUUUAACAAUGCUGUUAGAGUUUCUGAGAGAGAUGUUUCCGUUUGCAAAAAUCCCUCAAUCAUGCAAAGAUAUAAAGAAAAUGAUAAAAGAUUUAGGUCUUGGGUACACCAAAAUCCAUAGUUGCCCGAAUGACUGCAUGUUGUAUUGGGGCGAUCGAAGAAACCAGCAAUGCUGUCACAUAUGCGGCCAAUCACGUUGGAUAAAUAGAAACACAGAAGAUGGGAACGACGAUGAAAAUGAUACACUGGCAAGAAAGAAGCCGGUCAAGAUUUUGUGGUAUUUUCCGCUCAUACCAAUGCUUCAAAGGCUUUUCAUGUCGUCGAAGACAGCGGAGUCUAUGACGUGGCACCAUGAUGGACGAACCGAUGAUGGGAAGAUGAGGCAUUCAGCAGAUUCUUUAGCUUGGAAAUCAUUUAACAAUAAAUUUCCAAGCUUUGCAAGCGAUCCUAGGAGUGUAAGGCUUGGCUUAGCAUCUGAUGGAUUUAAUCCGUACAAGAUCAUGAGUACUGCGUACAGUACUUGGCCAGUAGUGCUUGUUGCUUACAAUCUGCCUCCGUGGAUUUGCAUGAAGCAAUCUUCCUUUAUCUUAUCUAUGAUUAUCCCUGGAGAGAAAGGGCCCGGGAAUGAUAUCGACAUUUAUUUACAGCCACUUAUUGAAGAGUUAAAACAAUUGUGGGCUGGUGUCGAGACAUACGAUCUGCUGAGAAAGGAGAACUUUAAUCUACGUGCAGCUUUGAUGUGGAUCAUUAAUGACUUUCCCGCUUAUGCCAAUUUAUCCAGUUGGAGUACAAAGGGUCGUUAUGCGUGUCCUUGUUGUGCUGCACAAACAUGUUCGCAAUGGUUGUACAAUGGGAAGAAGUUCUCUUACAUGGGGCAUCGUCGGUGGUUACCGGAAAAUCAUAGAUUUAGAUUUCAAAGUUCUGUAUUUGACGGUACUGAAGAGUUCAGAGAAGCUCCUUCGUAGACCAGUGGCUCUGAAAUCUUGUUCAUGUUGGAAGAUAUGAAUUUCAUUUAUGGGAAGAUGAACCAACCGCCAAACACGCAAAGAAGUAGAAGAUCAAACGAUGAAGCUGAUGAUGACUCUGAUGAAGAGGACGAUCCUAAUGAGGCGGACUUGUGGAAAAAAAGAAGUAUUUUUUUUGAGUUGCCUUAUUGGGAGCAUCACCUUUUACGACAUAAUCUUGAUGUUAUGCACAUUAAGAAAAAUGUCUGCGAGAACAUUGUGGGUACAAUUUUGAAUGUCGACGGAAAAUCAAAAGACAAUCUUCAAAGUCGACUUGAUUUAGUACAAAUGGGAAUCCGACCUGAUCGUCAUCCCAAUCCACUUUCGAAUGGGAAAUAUCGGUUGCCGCCAUCUAUUUUUUCAAUGUCGAAGACGGAAAAAGAAGUGUUCUGCACGGUGUUGAAGGAUAUAAAGGUUCCAGAUGCGUAUGCAUCAAAUAUAUCUCGAUGUGUUAGUGUUAAAGAUCGAAGAUUAUAUUCGCUAAAAUCACAUGACUAUCACAUCUUGAUGCAAGAUUUACUGCCAGUGGCUCUACGAUGUUGUAUGUCCAAGAAGGUGACGUCUUGUAUAAUUGAACUAUCCAACAUAAUGAAAGCCAUUUGUGGCAAAGUUUUGGAUGUUCAAGAACUUCGGAAGGUACAAGAUCGAGCCGCUUUGACUUUAUGCAACAUGGAGAAAAUCUUUCCACCUUUCUUCUUCACCAUUAUGGUUCACUUGAUAAUCCAUCUCCCACACGAAGCAAUUCUUGGCGGACCCGUUUUCUAUUGAUGGAUGUAUCCCAUAGAAAGGUGUUAAUUAAAAUUUUUAAAAUUUUCCUUCAUUCACCUCUAUCCUUUAGUUUCAAUAAUUAAGAAAUGUUAUAUAUUGUGUUUAGGUUUCUAUCCAAAUUAAAGUCUUACUGCCGCAACAAGCGAUAUCCAGAAGGAUCAAUUGCAGAAGGCUACUUGGCAGAAGAAUGUAUGACCUUCUGCUCAAGAUAUUUGGAAGAUGUUGAAACAAGGUUAAACAGACCAAAUAGGAAUGCUGGACUCACGGACCAUAACUUAGCCGAUACUUAUUUGUUCCAAAGUUUUGGAGAACCAAUCGACAAAGUUGAAAUUGCAGAAUUAGAUCAUUUAUCGUGGGUACAAGCACAUCGAUAUGUUCUGUUUCACCACGAAUCAUUGGAACCUUUACGGAAGUAAGUUCUACAAAUUUGAUAAAUAUUUAUCAAACUAAUAAUUGUUUAUCUUCUAACAAAGUGAACAUUUUUUUAACAUAGUGAGUACAAACAAAUAUUGAGAUCUCGUUCGCGCUCCCGAAGAAUACAACAUCGAGAUAUCAAUAAGUUGUUUACAAAAUCUUUUUAUGAAUGGUUAAGCCAAACGGUAUGCAGUUCGAGCUUCCGCUUACAAAUAAUAAAAUCUGUUUUCUCAUAACAUUUUUAAUUACUCAGUUUACUUUCCAUUCAAUAGGUUUGGAGUGGGAAGAACGUAAACGACGAAGUUAAAUGGCUCUCCCAAGGUCCAAAUCGAGUGGUUAAAAGAUAUAGUUCGUUCCUCAUCAACGGAUUCAGAUUUCAUACAAAAUAUCGCGAGAGGUUGAGGAGAAUGCAAAAUUGUAGAAUAGUUGUCAAUUCUACAAUUACAAGUUAUGCUAGUGCAAGGGACAAUAAUCCUGUCGAGGGAAAUAUGGAAUAUUUCGGACAUCUUACUGACAUAAUUGAGUUGGAUUACUACGGCAAAUGGAAAGUUGUCUUAUUUCGUAGUGAUUGGGCCGAUGUUAAUACAACUCAUGGAAUUAAGCAAGAUCAAUUUGGUUUUACAAUGGUGAACUUUGACCGAUUGAUUCACACAGGACAACAACUGAUAGAUGAGCCGUAUGUAUUCUCAUCUCAAGUCAAACAAGUUUUUUACUCAAAAGAUCCAACUGAUGAGGGUUGGUACGUUGUACUCCGUAACAUCCCUAGAGACUUGUUUGACAUGGGCAGUGGAAGUAGAGAUAACAUCGACGACAGAUCAGAAACUUUGCCCUUUCCAGAACAAAACUUAAACGAUAAUAUCCCUAGUACUAGUGCACAAUUUCAAUGUGUUCGUCAGGAUACCGAUGAAGAUAUUUACGAAUAAUGAUGUAGUAAGAUUUUACGAUUGUUUAAUUAUAAGUAUUUUGUCAUAAUUUAAAUAUUGGUCUUAUUAUAUAUUUCAACUGUUUUAUAUGUGCUGUUAUUGUUGUAAUUAGUUAUUAAGUUGUCAACUAUUUUAUGUGUAUUGCAGAUAAAAUGCCUAGAAGAAAAAUUCUAAGGGGAAGCAUUGUUCAAAAUGAUCCAAACACGACAGAAACAAAUAGUACUGAACAACAGACAGCAAUUGGAUCUUCGAAUGUUCCGAUUACAGCUGAUGAUCCUACAGAAGUUCAAAGUAAUUUUACAUUUAAUUUACAUGUGUGUUGACUUAUAGUUGAUUUUUUUUUCAAAUUCUUAUAUUAUAAUAUACCAUUUGUAGCUGAAAAUGGUGGGAUGCGCAGAGGUCGAGGACGUACGCUACUUAGAGAGUUAUACGAGUUAGAUCCAGUCGAGCGUGUCAAAGUUGGACGAAACAGUUUUGGUCAGCCUGUUGGAUCAGAACCUCGACUUUUAGCAGGAUACAUGGGCAUUUUAGCACGAAAUCCGAAUAUGUUGCCUAUCAACUACGACUCAUGGCAUCAAAUGCCCGAUAGCAACAAAAACCAAGCCGUCGAUAAUAUUAAGGUAACAAAAUGUUAAUGUCAUCUGUAAUGCUUGGGAAAUAGUUUCAUUUAUAUUUACUUUAUUAACUUGUUUUUUUUAUUUUUUGUAGACGAGGUUUGCUUUAGAGGUCUCGGAUGCUUAUGUAAAGAAGGCAUUGGGAAAAAGAUGGAGAGACAAUAAAAGUACUUUGAAGAGAAAUUAUUAUAAGACAAAAACAACCCUUGAUGAGAAAUUACAAAAUGUCCCGCCGGGUAUGUUGAGGUACCAAUGGGAAGAUGCGGUUAGAUUUUAGCAUUCGAAGAAAGGCGAGGUAUGACGUACUUCCAAACUAUUGUAAUUAUUUUGGUAAAUAGUAUUUUCUAUUUACAUACUAAAAAUUUCAUAACGUAGGAUCGUGAACNNNNNNNNNNNNNNNNNNNNNNNNNNNNNNNNNNNNNNNNNNNNNNNNNNNNNNNNNNNNNNNNNNNNNNNNNNNNNNNNNNNNNNNNNNNNNNNNNNNNUGUAGCUGAGGCGGAGGUAUUUUUAAUUUUUUAAUAUUGUCGAAUAUGUAUAACUUUCUAUUAAAUAAUAUUUUUACUACUAUAUUGUAGGAACUGUCGUCCGGUCAAAAAGUUGGACGCCUUCAACUUUUUGAAAUUACACAUAGGAAGAAAGAUGGAUCUCCCAUGACUCCUGAAGCUGGUGAAAUAAUGGUACGUUUACUUAAUACGAUUUGACUUGUUUUAGUUAUUUAUAGUGUUUAUUUUCUAAUGGUUUAAUUCAUUGCUUGUAAUGCGACUAUUGUUAUGUUGCAUAUGUUUUUUAAUAUAUAAUAUUGCGUUCCUAACUAUGUGAUUUAUUUAUUAGGAAAAACUAAAGGAUAAAAAGGUGGAGUACGAAGCGAUUGCUUCUAGUGAUAGUUCUGUUCAUCUUGAAGACAUUGAUAAUCGGAUUAUUACUGAAGUUUUGGGUCCUGAAAGGUAUGGUCGGGUUCGAUUUCAAGGAUCUUUUGUUAGCCCAACCCAAUAUUUUGGAUCCAGCUCCCACCAAUACAUGGCUUCGGGGAGUCAGGCUCAAGCUGAAGUUCGGAGGUUAAAAGACCAGAUGGCUCAGAUGCAAGCGACCACAGUUGAGGUUCAAAGGAAAUAUGAAGAACUCCAGCUACAACUUAAAGCAGAGGCGGCAGCGAGGGAAGCAGCGGCUGCAGCGAGAGAAGCAGAGCAGACCAAAAAGUACAACGAACUCCAGCAGCAGCUUCAGAUUAUGAUGAAGAUGUUUCAGUCGCAACUUCCGCCUUCAUAGUGUAUGGCAUAAAUAUUUUUAUCAUUUUAUCAUUUAACAUUUUUGCAAAAUAAUAUGAAUUCACUUUUAUUUAUUGAUAUUAAUAUUAUUUUAUUCGUUUAAUUUGAAAUAUUAUAUAAAUUUAUUGCUUUUGGCUAUUUUAGAUCUGGUUGCUUUUGAUUUGUUGUUACAGGAGGGCUGAAAAAAUGAAAAAUUUAAUAAAAAAAUCCCAAAAAUAGUGGCGUUUUUGUAUAAAAACGCCGCUAAAGACCGUGUUCUUUAGCGGCGCUUAGAAAAAAACGCCGCUAAAGAACAUGGUCUUUAGCGGCGUUUUUUUUUUGUAAACGCUGCAAAUGUUUGUGACGUUUUCCUUAGCGGCAUUUAGUGGCGUUAAAAAGCGCUGCUAAAGGCUUAAAAAAACGCCGCUAAAGACCUGUUUUGGUGUAGUGGUGUUAAAACGCAUUAUCCUCUUAUUUAUGAAUUAGGAAGUAGUUAUUGGUAGUUCUAGACAUUGCGUAGAAAAUAAUAGAUAUGAUGAGAAUCUAUAUUGAAACUUUUCGAAAAAAUAUAUUUAUUACACAUGAACUAAAAGAAAUUUCUUUAUGGGUAGUUCAAGAAUAUUGUUGAAGCUAUAAAAUAAAAAUUCAAUUGGAAAAUAGAAAUCUCUUUUGUUUAACAAAAUAUUAAUCAUUGAUUGAGUUAAUAUUAUGAGUCAAUCGGACACCAAUUUAAUUAAGAAAUUACAAAAAUAUCAUUCCAUAAUUAAAAUAAAUUAUAUUAUUUGAGGAUAUUUUAAUAUUUUUAUGUCAAAAAAAUCAAUAAAAAUAUAUAUUUAUUUUUCACAAAUAUAUUAUUCUAUCAAUUUUCAUCAACCAAAAAAAAAGUAAUUAAAGUAAAAUUUACCUUUGAUAUACCAGAUGAUUUCAAAGAGAAUGAUUAUAUCAAUGAGUUUAACAAUUAAAAAAUAUAUUUUUUUCAAAGAUUUUAUAAUAUCAAAAAUUUUAAAAAUUUUAUAUAAAAAUUAAAUAAAUAUUUUAAAUGAUAUUUGGACCAAUUUUAAUAAUUAGUUUAUAAUUUAGAGUUGUAUAUAAUAUGGCUGAUAUAUAUAAUGUCUUGGUCAAGUCAUGGUUUUAUAUAUGUUUAUUUGUGAGCCCUACACUCACAUCAAAUUUAGAUAUCACAAACAUGAUUUAAAAUAUUAUUAACUGUGAGCAAUUUAAAGAAAUUUAAUUUCUUUUUUACAAUUUUAAGUUAAUCAAUUAUUUGAUUUUUUUUAGGGGCGAAUUCAGAAAAGUUUUUUAGGGGCCGAAAUGAAUUUUUAAUUUUUAUUAGUCUAUAUAUUUAUAUUUUUAAAGGAUUAAAUUAAAAUUUUUAUAAUUUUAGGGGGGCCAAAAUGUAAUUUUAUCUCUACUAAUUUAAAACUUUAAAAUUUUUUAAAGGACCUAAAUAAUAAUUUUUCAUUUUAAGGGGGCCGGGGCCCCUACCAACCCUUUAGAUUUGCCUCUGAUAUAUAUAUUAUUUAUGUUUUGCAACUCAAAAUUUAGUCAUAUUAUCAAUAAUAUUUUAAUAUGAAAAAUUUACUUUUUAAAAAAUUUAUGUUGAACAAACUUAUUUAGCUUGUCUCAAUUAAAUUAAAAAAAUUAAAAUCAAAUUAGAAUAAUAAAAUAAUACCCAUUUACGCGAUUGAAUCUAAUACUCACCUCUCAAUAUUACACCUUUUGAAUCUUCCUAGAUCAUAAAAGGGGAAGUUAUCCUUGGCGUGUGUGUUUUAGUGCUCCUUAUUUCCUUUAAAAACAGAGUUUAUUUUUUCCUUUUUUAUAGAAAUGAAUUGAUAUUUAAACUGCAAAAGAAGAACCACUAUUUGAACAUGUAUAAAUUAAUAUUGUACGCAAAUAUAAACUUUAAUACCAAUUAGAGAAGUAAAAUAAGAUAUUGGUGAAUCAAAUUUAUUAAAUAAUUUAUAUACAGAAUGGAUGAUAUAAUAUUUCUGAAGUCUUCCCUUGGUUGACCAUAAAAGGAGAAGUCAUUGUUUUGUUUUUUGGUAUUUAUUUGUGACCCCUACACACACAUCAAAAUCACAUAUCAUAAACAUUGAUUUAGAAUUAAACUAUAUAAUAUUAGACCUUUUGUAAUCUUCCUAUUGUUGACCAUAAAAGGAGAAGUCAUCCUCUUCUGUCUUUUGUCCCCUUCAACUCUGUGGCUAAUUAUGUCAAAACAAGGUUUUUUUUUCCCUUCUUUGGUAGGAAUUAAAUUAAUAAAGAUUAUUGUAAUUUAAAAUCCAAUUAAAGUUACUAUUUGAACUGGUAUGAAUUAAUAUUGUUAUGUCUAACAUUUAUAUCCAAUAAUUUUUACUAUAGAGAAAAGAAGUAAGAAAAUAAUAUAUGAUGUAAAAUUGUUAAUUUGAGUCUUAACACAGUCGGUAUUUGUAUGUUGUUUAUGUAAUUUUUCUUUCUAGUUAAAGGUUGGAGAGGAGUUAGGGUGAAGCUAGAAAUUUCUUUUUUUGGGAGACGAAAUUAAGUUGUAUAUUUUUACAAGGGUUAAAAUAUAAUUUCACCAUUUCAAUAGCUUAUAUCUUUACAAUUUUUAAUGGACUAAAUCAAUAUUUUAUCAUUUUUAGGGCUAAAGUACAAUUUUACUAUUUAUUAACUUAAAAUUUUAUAAACUUAAUUUAAAGGGUUAAAUUUUAAAUUUCACAUUUUAAGGGGAGGGAUAGAACCCUGCUAGGCUCCCCUCUUGCCGCCCCUGAGAGGAUAUAAAGUAAAGCCAUAAGGGUCUAAAAUAUAUGAAUUAUGAGUACUUAUUACACUUGACCAAUUGCUUUUCUUCAAACAAAACAAAAACUAAUGCACAUGAAAAUGCAAAUUCACAUGCAACCUAGAUAUGCAUUCUAUAUACAAUGCAAUGCAAUAAAUAAAUAAACAAAUAUUAUUUAACGAUGGAGUUGCCUCUCCGUAAGCACCUUUGUUUAACAUUUUCUACUAGAUGUUUUUAAAUGUUAUUUCACCAUAGAAUGAUUCGGAUAACAUCUUGACUUAGUAAAAUUGAACAUUAGGAACAACUUAAAAGUCGAGGGAACUUGAGAGUUUUGAUCCCCUUUUGGUUCUUUAACCAACCAUUCUCACCCCUAAUUAUAAUUCCAAUACAGUAAAAGUACGUGAUUGAGUUGAAUGGAUGGUGGUUGUUUGACAUAAUAUGUAGAAAGUGAAAAAAUAGUUGAAAAUAAAUCAAGUAUUAAAACUAAAAGUUUAUGAAAGAAAUUCUAGUAUUAUCAAUUUUUCGUGAGGCUCAAAGCUAUUUGGAACAAAAAUAAAAUCAAUGUGUAUAGGCUUAACAAAAUAGCUAUUAUCUUGCAUUGUUAUUUCAUCCUAACCUCUUCCCUCAUAACUUCAUCUUCUAUUUUCUGUUCGACUUUAUCAAAAGUCUCAAGAAUUUCCUCCUCGUCCUUUUUAACUUCAACGAAACUUUCUAGGGAAGGAAGCUCUAUCGUGAAUGACUUCGGUUCUAGUCAAAGUAAAACAUAGUUUUUUUAGGUUUUUCGACUAUUUAUGCAUCAAACUUUUAGGCCAUUUUGGACAUCUUCCUAAUGUUUUUAGGCUUUAAUCUGUGAAAUAAAUUUAGAUAAAUCUUUCAAGUCACAUCAACAUUUUAUUAAUGAUUUAAUAAAUUAUUAAUAAAAAGAUUUAAGGUUAAUGUACAAAUUUGUCACUAUACUUCAAUUUGAUUGAUAUUUGAUAUUGAAUUUUAUUGCUUUACUUUAAUUUAAUUGAAUUUUGCCACUAAAGUAAGAUUUUUUUAUUGAAUUUUCUAUUCAAUUUAAUUUUAAAAUAACUUGAAGGCUAAAUUGAAUAAAAAUAGUUUUAUAUUUCGCUUUUAUAUUUAAUAAUUAUCCUCUCAUCCAUGGCAAGGUGCGGAAAUUUGCAGAAUAUAGAAAUGGAGUGAAGAAAAACCGCUUUAGCAGACGAUAUGAUUAUGUUAAGGAUAUACUGAAGUGUUUGAUUAUUUUUUCCAGAUGGAGUGUUUGACAUUUUAUAUCACUUAAUUAUUUUGGAUUUAUAUGUGAUGUCAGCGUCUACACGUAUACAUGUGAAUGUCACCUAUUCGAAAUUAAGAAAUAGUAAUUAUAUUUAAUAAUUAAAUUCAUAUUUAAUAUAUAUUUUUGAUCUAAUUUUUUAAUUCAAUUUAAUUUUAGUUAAAACGUUUAAAACAUUUAUUUAAUCUAAUUUCUUUAAUAUAUUAAAUAAAUUGGAUUAGAAAAUAUAUUAAAUAUGGAUGAAUACUAUAUCUCUAAAAAUUAAUAUAUUAUUAUUUUAUUGGUGCUUAAAAAAAUUAAAAUAUUAAGAAUCAUUUUAAUAUAAGUUAUUCCCUUGAUAAUAAUAUUUGGUAUUUCCACGAGUAAGUUCAAUAGUUGACAAAUAUUUUAUAUAAGUACAAUAAAAUAUUUAAAAAAGUUAUUUAGUGACUUAAUUUUUUAAGAAUAUUUGAUAAUUCAUAAAGAAAAUAAAUAAUAUUUUAAAAAAAAAGAGUGAAAAAUGAUAAGUAGAUAAUAGCUAUUAUCACUUACAACAUGUUUGGAUUAAAAAGAAGAAAAAAGGAGGGAAAAUUAAGUAAAUUGAGGGAAAGAAAAUUCGGUUUCUUUGUUUAAGUUAAGUAAAGUUGUUAAUUUUUUAUUAGAUUUUAUAUUUUAGAUUAUUAUCUCUUCUUCUUCUUUUUUUAGCUUGUAACAACCUUAUUUUUAUUUUCUAUUUGUUUAGGUUACUAGAAAUAUUUAAUUUUAAAUUUGUUUGAUAUAUAUUUUUAAAAAUUUUAACAAUAUUUUUUUAUUAACUAUUUUGUUAAAUUAUUAGGAAUCCUUCAUUUAUAAUUUGGUUAAGAUAUUUUUUUAGUUUGAUAAAAUAAGCUUAUUAAAAAAAAGAGAAUAUACCAAUAUAUUAUUGGUUAACAUUUUAAUUAUUAUUUUAUAUAGAAUAUUGAUAUUUUUCUAUAAUUUUAAUUUGCUGUGAUUUAAUUUUGUUAUUAUAUAUUAUUUAUGAACUGUUAAAAUUAAAAAAAAAUAAAAGUAAAAUAAUUCAUUUUCUUUCCUUUUCAUAGUUUAGUAAAACAAGUCCACAAGCUCGCCUCAUUUGAAAAAAAUUAAAUUGUUUAAAUAUAUUUAUCUAUAUAUAUAUAGGGACUAAUUUUAACAAAUGAAAAACAUAGAAAAACUACAUUAAAAGAAAUGGAAAAGGGAAGAAAACAAAAGGAGAAGCAGAAGAGAAUGAAAUAUAAAGGAAAGUUAAAAGAACAUAAAAAAAUUAAAUUAAAUUGCUCAAAACGAAAAAAAUAUGGGGAUUAGUUGCAUAAAUCAUCCUAAAAUUUUUGUUUGAAAGAUGAUUUAACAUGUCACAUCAGCUUAUUGUUACACGGUUAACAAAAAUUAAUAGCUCAGUGACUAAAAUGUUAUAACGUGAUAACGUAAGUGACUAAAAUGUAACAUUUCAAACAUAAAUAACUAAAAUGUAAGCAAAAGUGGCUAUUUUAAUAGUUUACCCUAACAUUUAUCCAAACAUAAGCUUAAUGUAAACAUUUUUUCAAUUAUUUUUAUUUUAUUUUAUUUUUUACCAUUAUCCUUUAUCCUUAUUUUAAAAAAAAGUAUAAUUAUUUUUCAAAAUUAAUUUUAAGCAAUACAUCAAAUAGAUUUUAUAACUUAAAUGUAAUAUUUAAUUUUAUAAUAUUUUUUUAUCAAACAACGUUUACUCCUAAGUAAAUAAAUAAAUAAAGGCCUUGUGUAAUUAAGAAAGUUGAGAAAUGGCUAAUCCUCACAUGGCAAAAAUUGGCUACAAUAAUGAAGGAAAGAGAAAAACACUUAGGAAUGUCAAUGAGCAUACCCCACACACAUACUAUUUACUGUCAACGGUGAUGGAUGAAUUGUCUACUAUACAUGGAUUUUUUUUUUUUUUUGGUUCUUGUCCUGUAUUAUUUGGAUUUGUGAUCCCAUGUAAAAUUCCAGUCACUAUUUCAUCGCAUUUAAAAAAAAUUAUUUAUUAUCAAUUGAGUAUUAACUUGAUUGGUAUAAGUAUUAUUGUCAAUGUAUGAGAACAUAGGUUCGAGUGUAUUAAAGCUCAUUAUCUUUUUAUUUAUGGAUUAGAAAGUGAUUAUUGGUAGUUCUAAACAUUGUGUUGAAAAGAAUAGACAUAAUCAGAAUCUAUGUUGAAAUUUUUCAAAAACAAUUAUUUAUUACACAUUAAUUAAAAGAAAUCUCUUUAUGGGCAGUUCAAGAUUGUGAAGUUAUAAAAUAAAAAAUUCGAUACGAAAACAAAAAUCUCUUUUGUUUAACAAAAUAUUAAUCAUUGAUUGAGUUAAUAUUAUGAGUCAAUCAAACAUCAAUUUAAUCAAGAAAUUACGAAAAUAUUAUUUUAUAAUUAAAAUAAAUUAUAUUAUUUGAGGAUAUUUUAAUAUUUUAUGUCAAAAAAAUCAAUAAAAAUAUGAAUAUGAUGGGAUUUGAAAUAAAAUCUUGAAUUUACCACUCAACCAAAACUUUAUUUUAUCAUAUUUUAUACAUUUUUAUUUUAAUACGCACAAUUUAUUAUCUUCAUCAGUUGUAUAUAUAUUAAUAAAUUUAUUGAUUGAGUUGAUAUCACAAGUCAACUCGACACUAACUGACAAUUGACGACAACACUUUGAUAGACAGUUGUAUUGCGUUUAAUUAGUAUUUUUAAUUUGAUGUAUUUAUAUGUUUAAAUUUUAUUUUUGCUCCCAAAUUAAUUUAAUUUUUUAUUUUAAUGCCAUACAUAUUUUAUAUAUUCUUAUAAUUAAUUAUCUUGAAACCAUAUGUUUCAUUAUUUACUUCUUUCUUUUAAGCAUGCAUCUGUGUUUCAAAUCUAAACAUGGUUGAUUAUGUUAAUUAAUGUUACAAAUUGAGAAAUUUAUUAAAAGUAUUGAAAGAUGUUGGAAGAUGCUAUUGAUCUUCUUCAAGUGGUUUUUCACAAAUAUAUUAUUCUAUCAAUUUUCAUCAACCAAAAAAAAAAGUAAUUGAAGUAAAAUUUACCUUUGAUAUACCAGAUGAUUUCAAAGAGAAUGAUUAUAUCAAUGAGUUUAACAAUUAAAAAAUAUAUUUUUUCAAAGAUUUUAUAAUAUCAAAUAUUUUAAAAAUUUUAUAUAAACUUAAAUAAAUAUUUUAAAUGAUACAAUUCGACCAAUUUUAGUAAUUAGUUUAUAAUUUAGAGUUGUAGAUAAUAUGGCUGAUAUAUAUAAUGUCUUGGUCAAGUCAUGGUUUUAUAUAUGUUUAUUUGUGAGCCCUACACUCACAUCAAAUUUAGAUAUCACAAACAUGAUUUAAAACAUUACUAGCUGUGAGCAAUUUAAAGAAAUUUAAUUUCUUUUUUACAAUUUUAAGUUAAUCAAUUAUUUGAUUUUUUUUAGGGGGCCGAAAUGAAUUUUUAAUUUUUAAUGGUCUAUAUCUUUAUAUUUUUUAAAGGAUUAAAUUAAAAUUUUUAUAAUUUUUGGGGGGUCAAAGUGUAAUUUUACCUCUACUAAUUUAAAACUUUAAAAUUUUUUAAAAGACCUAAAUAGUAAUUUUUCAUUUUAAGGGGGCCGGAGCCUUACCAACCCUUUAGAUUUGCCUCUGAUAUAUAUAUUAUGUAUGUUCUUUAAAUCAAAAUUUAGUCAUAUUAUCAAUAAUAUUUUAAUAUGGAAAAUUUACUUUUUAAAAAAUUUAUCUUGAACAAACUUGUUUAGCUUAACUCAAUUAAAUUAAAAAAAUUUAAAUCAAAUUAAAAUGAUAAAAUAAUACUCAUUUACUCGAUUCGAUCUAGUACUCACCCCUCAAUAUGACACCUUUUGAAUCUUCCAUGACAGAAGUUAUCCUUAGUGCUCCUUAUUUCCUUUAAAAACAAGGUUUAUUUUUUCCUUUUUUAUAGAAAUGAAUUGAUAUUUAAACUGCAAAAGAAAAACCACUAUUUGAACAUGUAUAAAUAACUUGUAGUUGAUAGUUAUAUACAGAAUGGAUGAUAUAAUAUUUCUGAAGUCUUUUGGUAUUUAUUUGUGACUCCUACAAAUUAUAUAUAAGAAAUUCUAGUGUUAUCAAUUUUUUGGAGGCUCAAAGCUAUUUGGCAUUGUUAUUUCAUCCUAACCUCUUCCCUCGUAACUCCAUCUUCUAUUUUCUGUUAGACUUUGAGAGUUCAAUUACGAAAAGGGAAGUGUUUUUUUCGGCUCUUAAUGUAAUUGAUAGUAGGCUAGGAAAUAAAGAUUAUUCGUUUGUUUGUUUAAGCCUGAUUUUGACUUGUGUACUAUAAUUAAAUUAUCACACUAAUAUAUUUUUAUCAGUUUGAUUUAUGUACUUUCAUUCUAUAUACUUCGUUAUCUUAUUUAUAUUUUUUAGAAAAAAAAUUUUCUAUCUAAUUAAAUGCUGUCACCUAUGAAAAAAUUUAAAAUUCCACUAAAGUAUAUAAAAAUUCAUAAAAAUCGUAAAAAAAAUAAAAAAAAAAGCAUAAAACUCUAAAGAAAUUAAUAAAAUUUUAUAAGCACAAAUUUCCAAAAAUAAAAUUAAAAUAUUUUAUUAAAAUUUUUAAAUUUUUUAAAGUUUCAUAUAUUUAUUGUUUAAAAAUUAUAUCAUUUUCAAAAAAAGAUUAUGAAUUUUUUUAGGUAUUUUAAAAAUAUUUUUCUAAGUCUUAAGAUUUUAUUUUUUGCAUUUUAUGAUUUCUUUUUUGGAUUUUUAAUGGUUUUUAAAAUUUUAUAAUAUUUUCUAAAAUGUUUUAACUAUUUUGGUCGUCCAGGUUUUGUGAAUGAAGCGAAGGGUAUCUUUAUUGUGGUGAACUUUUAAUUUACUCAAAACGAAGUGAUUUAUUACGUUGUGUGAUUUGCAGAUAAGUGUUAAAUAUGAAAUGUGUAAGGCCCAAUAUUUGCCCGGCCCGUAAUAAACAAACCAAAUCAAAAUUUAAAAAGUCCAAAGUCCAAAAUUACAAAAAUCUAUCAGACCCAAAAUAUAAAUCGAGCCCAUUUAUAAAUGGCCCAGUACAAACCCAAAUUACAGCUAGCCCAAUAGCCAAAACCAGCCCAGAUUUUUUCAUUUUGCAGAAACCCUAAACAGUUUCAGAGGUACCAGGCGCCGCAGCCAAGCCCUCGCACAUGCCCCACGAACCACGCUUCCAACGCCUCUCCCCACAUACACCUAGCCACGUCCCUGACACCGUACGGCCGUACCUGCAGCAAACGCAAACGAAAAACGCAGCAGAGAAAGAAACUGUAUUUUUCAUUUUUAUUAUUUUAAAACGAAGGGAUAUAAAACAGGAGAAACCUUUUGUAUUUGAGGGGGGAUUGAUACGCAAUAUCAACACACGCAUAUUGUAUCAGAAAAACGAAAUCAAUACAGAAGAAAGGUUUUCUUUUUCUCUUUUCUCGAUUGGGUUCCUUUUUCUUUGGCUUUUCAUUUUUCUGUUUUGCUGUUAGCCCUAUACAUAAGCAUAUGCAUAUAAUAAAAGGGAAAGGAAGUACUUACCUCGGUGACCCUGUCGUCGUUCUCAUCGGUUUCGUGGAUACCAGAGAGGCUAGGUAUGGUUUUAGCCUGAGAACGGCGCGAGGGGAGAGGGGAAAGGCAAAGUUUUUUUUCUGCUGUUUUUUUAGUGGCCGAAUAACCUUGUUUAGGGUUUUAAAAUUGGUUUUUUUGGGGUGUUGAAACGGCGUCGUUUGGGGCCUGAAUCAGUGGCCACCAAAACGGCGUCGUUUCGCGCUUAGUCCCUUGCCUUUAAAGCGCAUCCAAAUCAAUCUUUUUAUUUUUUUAGAUUUUGCCUGAUAUGUCACUGUUGUUUCAUUUUGGUCCCUUCUGCCAAUAUGCGUUUUGAAGGGCGGGGAAUAUUUCCCAUUUAAUCCCUCAUGUAAUGCGCAGGCUUCAUUUUGCCUUUUAAUUUCCUUUUAAUUUAUUUUCUUUUUUCGAUUAAGCAUUAAAUCCCUUUUAAUCUCUAUUUUAGUUUGUUCAUAUUAAUUAAUUUAAAUAUUUUGGUUCUGUUUUCUUUAAUAUAUUUCAGUUUAAUCUAAUGUUAUUUUAAUAAUUCAACUUAUUAGUAUAAAUUCAUUAUUGGUAUUAUUUAAAUCUAUUGAACCAUUAUUCUAAAAGUUCUCUUUCGUGUGUUAUUUUAAGUUUUCAUAUAUUAUUAUUAAAAUUUAAUACUUAUUAUUUUUAUGAUAACUAAAUAUAAUUUGUACAAUUCUAUAGUUUUAUAAUAUUUAUUUUUAAAUUUAUUGGGAUACUAUUAUUUUAUGAAGUAUUUGUUUUUAAUUAUAUUUUUCAUUUAUUUCAAACUUUCAUGUGUAUAUAUAUUAUUUUAAACUUAUUUUAAUAUAUAAUUUCCCUUCUUUUAUGUUACUUUUUUUGUUUUUGUUAUUUAAAAAAAAAACUUGUUACAUUUUAUUUAAUUCGCUUGUUACCCUUUUUUAAUAAUAACUUUUUAAUUCAUUUUGCUUGCUAAUAUGGAUGUUAGUAUUUGCAUAAUGUAGGAUAUAAAAUUGUUGCUCUUUUGUAUAUGAUAUUGUUUAUUCAUAUAUUAAAUUUUUGUUAUUCAUUAGUGUAUGCUUUAGUUUACGAAUAAUCAAUUCGCAUAGUACAUUAUUAUACGAUCGUUUUUAUUUAUUCAAAAGAUUACAAAUUACAAAGUUAUUCUAUUCAAAAACUUUCAAAAAUACUCGAAGUUUGAAAUCCUCGAGAGAAUUGAGCCCUAACGUAUUGGGUUCCAAUUUUCUUCGUCGAAUCUAAAUAAUUGAACAUUUUUUAACAUACAAAUUUCAAAUAACCCAUUCUCGGGAAUUCAACACGUUGUGUCCUAACGUAUUGGAUAUGACAUGUUAUUUUCUCGAGAUGAGGAUUUUAAAAAAAUAAUAAAUAAAGGCAAUGUUCGGUAUUUGGGAAUUUGGUGAAAUCGAACCCUAACUUACUGGGUUUUGAUCUUCUCUUUUGGCCCAAAUAAUUAGAUAUCCUUCUCAAAAUGCAUAGUUUUAAAAAUCAAAUUUAACUUCAAAAUAAAAGGAUUGUAUUUUAAAAUUUUUUCAAAAUCUCGACAUUAAGACAUUGAACAAUCAAUUUGGUACCAAUUUUGGGCGUAUCGAGGGUGCUAAUCCUUCCUCGUGCGUAACCGACUCCCGAACCUGUUUUUUUGAAUUUCGUAGACCAAAACCGUUGUUUUAAUAAAAUCAAAUCGUUUAUUAAAAACAACCACUUUUUAAGGUGAUCCGAUCACACCUUAUCAAAAAAAGAUUGGUGGCGACUCCCUUUUUCCGUUUUCGUUUUCAAAAUCCAAGUCGACCCCGUUUUCAUCAAAGAAAUGGUGUCUACAAAAUGAAUUGUUGAAUUUGAAAACAAUGGUUUAAUAUUGCAGGGAUUUCCAGCAUUAUCAUAAAUUUUAGUGAAUUUAGAGACGAAAUCAGAGUUCCACUGAGUUUUGUUCAAAUCUGGGGAUUUCAUCGUCAUAUAGGGUCGAUUUGGAUAUCUAGGAUACAAAGCUUCAUAUCAUUGAUGUUCGAUGGCCAUGGGUAUAUGUUGAUUUUGAGUUUAUCGUUGCCCCAUAAGUUGGUUGCACUAAAAAAAAUGGGUAUUACCAAUGCUAAAAAUUGUUACUAAAAUUUUAUUGUAGCAAUAAAAGUUGUUGCGGGAUUGUUGUGUAUAUUUUCGUUGUUUAAAGUAUACGCAACUCUACUCAAUUAUGUAAUAUCUACUCUUAAAUAUGGUCUAUUUAACUACAUAUUUAAGCACAUCAAACACAAAUUAAUAAUUUAGAAAUAUCAAACCAAGAAUUAAUCACACAUAAUUGGGAACAAUAAACUAAGUAUUUAUUGCAUAAAAUAAAAAAAUGAUAGAAUCCAUCAUAGGGUUCAUUUCCCUAGGUAUUUAGAAAAUUAGUUCAAGCUUGAAAAUAAAAACAUCCAAGAUAUAGUAUAACCGAAAGAAAUAAAAAAAUUCAUGAUAAUCUCCUAGGAAAUCAACUGAGAAUCUUCAAUCUUGACGUAAAUUUGUUUUCAAGAUGGCUUCAAUGGCAUUUUUCGAGUUGCUUUCUUGAAUAUUUUAUGACGGCUCUCUCAUAUAUCUUCUUAAUUUUUCACAUAUACGUUUCAUAAUGCCCCAAAAAUCUAAAAAUCUUGAUUUUACAUUGUUUGUGUGGCAAUUCCAUGAAAUUGACAUAGCCUACCACACACUCGUGUGGGUCACAUGACUAUGUGGUUUGCUCAUGUGAAAUUUAGAAAAUGUAAAAGAUUCAAAUAUGUAUGCAUCCGUAUAUUGCAUAUAUUGUUGGGAUGUUAGACAAACAUUUAAGCAACUCUAGUAUAGGCCAUUAGAUAACAACCAAGAGGGUUAUGAGGUAUCUUUAGAAAACAAAAUAUUACAUGCUCACAUAUUGGAUGUUUGAUAAGUUAGAGAACAUCAAGUAUACAAACUCCAAUUUUGAUGAAAUAUUGAUGCAAAAUUUUGUCACUAGAGUGCAAAUUGUAACAAUAGUUAGUAGUCUUUUAUUCCAAUUGUACAAGCCCAAAUUUGCCCGAGGCCCAAAAACCCAAUACACCCAAACCUCAGCCUAAUUACAAUAUUUAACUCAGCAGACCCAACCCAACACCGAUGACCCAAACCUCAAUCCAAUAGCACCUAGCCCAACAAGAUUAAACCCAAACCCGAGGCCCAAUAUCCAACCCAAAAAAAAUGAAGGCCCAGUAGCCCAAAAUGUUUGAGACUUUUUCAGAAAAAAUGAAACCCUAGCCUACUGCCUAACCCUAGCCGCCUUUGCCUCCUCUGACAUCUUCUAGUCUGGCUGCCGCUCGUAGCCUCUGCCACCGCCACCUCUGACGCCGAGCCGCCCAUCAAUCACCUACUCCAUCAACGUCAACACCUGCAAACAAGAGAAAAAGCAAUAGCAAAUAAUAGCAAAAAUAUUGUAAAAAAUGGCUAUAAAGCCAUAACCACCACUGUAAACGGGGUUCUUCCCCCCCUCCCCCCGAUUUUUGUAUAAAAAAAUAUUAGCAGGGAAAUAAAGGAAAAAAGAUUGAAGGUGAUUUUUUCUUUUCUUUUCUUUUCGGUUUUGUAGACCCGUUUUUCUGUUCUCUUUUCUUUUUUCGUUUACACGUAUGUAAAUAAAGGUAGUAAAUAAAAGGAAAGAAUGAAGACUUACCCAUUUCGCCUUUCGGUUACGCCGCCGUCGGGGUCUGCUCAUAAUUGAAAUCGGCCCGAAAGGUCGAGUUAGGGGGUCCUUUGUCUUGAUUUUCGGGCCAAACGAAUCUAGCCUUCGAUUGGGUCUUAAAACGGGGACUAGAAUGCCCAUUUUGCGCAACGCCGGCCACCGUCCACGAUGGCGCUAUGGCGGUGCUAAGAAGACCCAAAGGCCGAACGUUUGAGAGGGAUGAGGAAAUGUUUUUUUUGUUUUUUUUUAAAAUUAGUGGCUGAUAUGUUUUUUUUUUUGAAGAAAAUAUGGCUUAAAUACUAUUUUCGAAAUAGCAUAGUUUCAAUUUGGCCCUCCAGAUGCCAAAACGGCGUCGUUUUGAAAGGGGCCGGUUCUACUCGACCCGUUUGGCCAGGAUCCGCGUGUUUUAGCCUUGAGGGGUUAUUUAUGCGGGGAGUCCCUCCGCUUCUGCAGCGUAGCCGAUAUGAUCCUUUUUGGUCUUUUUGUUAUUUGGCCCGCGAAUUUUGCCUCUAUUUCGAUUUGGUCCUUAGACCAUGUGCUGCCCCUAGUCGAAACGCAGCAUUUUAGGACUGGGAAAUAUUUCCCCACAAGUCCCUCACGCUUUAAGCGCGUUUUACUUCAGUCAUGCACUAUUCCUUUUGUUUGUUUGCAUAUUUAAACCCCGAAGUUCGUUUCAAGUUUUAAUUUAGUCCUUUUGUAUUUUGUUUAUUUUCUUAUUAAGUAAUAAAUUUGAUGUUAUACUGUUAUUAUUAAUUAUAAUAAAUAUUAUUUGCUCAUUUUUACCUUUAGAAUUUCAAAUUUUAUCAUAUAUAUUUGUAUAUACUUAUUUUGAUAUUUUAUAAUUUAUAUCUAUAUAUCUAUAUACAUAUUUAUACAUAUAUACACAUACCUAUAUGUUUUAUAUUUUCAUAUAGUUUUUAUAUACAUAUAUAUUCUUAUAUGCACAUGCUUAUGUUUUUUUAUACUUUAUAUAUAUAUAUAUAUAUACACCUAAACAUGCAUAUUUUUUUAUAUGUACAUACAUUCAUAUAUUUUAUAAUUUAAGUACAUAUACAUAUAUAUGUACAUAAACUUUAUUAUUAUUAUUAUUUUGUAAUUUAUAUUGUUAUUAAUUGUUUUAUUUGAUAUUUAUUUAUUUGCUCAUCUUUAUUUUUAUGAAAUGCUUUAGUUCUUUUUACAUUAUUUUUAUGAAAUGCUUUAGUUCUUUUUACUUACUCAUUAUUUCAUGUAUAAUUGUUUUUUUUAUAUAUGUGUCCUUUUUAUUGUUGCUCGUAUUAUUUUACUUACAUUAUCAUAAUUGUCAUUCCAUUACGUCAAUUUUCACCCAAAUUCAAAAAAAAAAAUUUUAAAAAUAUAAAUAAUACUCGGUAUUUGGGAUCUUCGAGAGAAUCGAGCCCUAACGUAUUGGGUUCCGAUUUUCUUCGUUGAAUCUAAAUAAUCGAGACUACUCUUUUUUAUAUAUAAAAAAACAUAAAUAAAAGCUCAUUAUCGGGAAUUCAAUACGUUGUGUCCUAACGCAUUGGAUAUGAUACAUUGUUUUCUCGAGAUGAGGAUUUUUCUAAAAAAAUAAAAAUAAGGCAAUGUUUUGAGUUUGGGAAAUUCAAGAAAACGUGCCCUAAUGUGCUGGGUUUCGAUUUCUCGUUUAGCCAAAUAUUCUCUUAAAUCUUAAUCUAUGUCAUUUAAGUUUUUUUAGGAUUGUAUUUUAAAUCUCUUUAAAGUUUUCAGUUUUUCGACACUAAGAUAUUAAGUAAUCAACUAGGUACCAAUUUUGGGCGUAUCGAGGGUGCUAAUCCUUCCUCGUGCAUAACCGACUCCCGAACCCAUUUUUCUAAAUUUCGUGGACCAAACUUGUUGUUUUAAUAAAAUCAAAUCAUUUAUUAAAACAACCACUUUUUGAGGUGAUCCGAUCACACCUUAUCAAAAAAGAUUGGUGGCGACUCCCACUUUCGUUUUCAUUUUUCAAAACCCAAGUCGACCCCGUUUUAUCAAAAAAAUGGUGCCAACAGCUUGGCGACUCCACUGGGGACCCAAGAACGAGAGUCAAGCCACGAGUUGAUUAUUUUUUUAUUUUUUUGUCGAAAAUCAAAAAAUUGGUUUAAACAUACGAUCCUUUCGUUGCAUUUCAUUCGUCUUUAUUAUGAUCUUCAUCAUUAUAGUUUAUAAUUGUUGUGUUAGUUUAAGUUUUGGUAUCAAUCUGUACAUUGCAUUGCAUAACCGUUGGUCACACCCUUCUUAGUGGGAGUGAGAAACUACGCUUUCGUGAGGUUUUCACCUCCGCAUAGGAUAGUGAAUCGCUUCUGGUAUAUAUCCGUACCUAUGUUUUCGUGAGAUUUUCAUCUCCGCAUGGCCAUAGGGAAAUGUAUUCCCCUGAACUGAACUCAGUCUGCAUGAGCCUAUAAUGGGUCAGGACCGAGGAAUCUGCUGGUUCAGGUACCCUUACUUUAGAGCCGAACAGCAUGUAAUGAGCCCUAGGAGCCUACCCUAGGUAGAACCACACCAAAUACCUAGAGGUCACCUGAAAACUUGGUUUAAAUUUACGAUCAUUUUGUUGUAUUUCGUCCGUUUUGGUAUGAUUUUCAUUACUUCGGUUUGUAAUUACUCUAUUGGUUUGAAUUCUCGAUAUGUUUCUGCGCAUUGCAUUACAUGACCACUCAGUUACACCCUUUUAAGUUUGAGUGAGAAGCUACUCCUUCGUGAGGUUUUCACCUCUGUGCAGGAUAGUGGAUCACUUUUGGGAUACAUCUGUACCUAUGUCUUCGUGAGAUUUUCAUCUCCGUGCAGCCAUAGGGAAAUGUAUUCCCCUGAACCGAACUCGGUCCGUAUGAGCCUAUAAUGGGUGAAGAUCGAGGAAUCGGCUGGUUUGGGUACCCUUGCUUUAGAACCAAACCACAUGUAGAAGACCUUAGGAGCCCACCCUAGGUAUAACUACUUUGAACCCCUAGUAGUUACCCUAAUAUGUGCUCUUUUUGUUUUUUUUUCUUGUUUACUUUUGCUUUGUACUAACCUGUUUUGUUUUGGUUAUAACUGCAUUGCAUUUUCAUCAUAGAAAAGAGGUGUUGAUUCAAAUUUGAUUGCUAAAUAGAAAAGCUUGUCAUGGAAAACGAAUUUCUUGAUAAAGUAGAAUAUGAUGCGACUGUCUGAUUAUGGACUAAUUAAACACAACAAGAGAAGGUUAGAAGUUUGUGGAGGAAUAUACGACUAUGCUUCACUGCCUGAGGAUUCAAACCGACAAAGAUCAUUCGAGAGUGGUCACGAAACUAAAGAGCAUCGUAAGGGAGCAAUGGGUCGUGGCUCAGAUCAAUCAAAAAAGAAGAUAGUAAAGGUAAAUUUUGGGAAAUUCGCAAGAUUUGAUCCUAACAUCUGGAUAUGAAGAAAAGAUCGAUGUAUUCGCCAGGAAUAUGGGGGCAAAGCAGCAGAUGUAAUCUAUUUUAUGUAAAGAAAUUUGUUCUCUAGAAAAGUUGUUCUAAUGGAAUUGAAUUAGGAAUCAAUGCCUCUCUUUCUUUUUGCAUUCAUUUCACGCAUUUGUAUUACAUAACAUCACAUGCAUUAAGGACCAUCAAAAGACUCUAAUUGAGUAAAAUGAUUUCAGCUAAUCUAGAGAACCAACACCCUUACGGAAUUCGAGCAAAAACUAAAAGAAUGGACCAAAGAUUGGAGAGAUUAAAGCAAAGGCAAAUACAGAUGCAAGAGCAAUUUACCAAAUUUCAACAAGAUAUGAAGGAUCAGAUGCUAGAAGUCCAAAGAAAUCUAAUAAGUCAGUUAACCCAGUUAUUGGAUAGAGGGUUAGAAAAAGGAAAAAACCCAGUGGUCCACUUUGGAGAUAAUGAUGAAGACCCUGCUCAUUUUCUAGGUUUUACCCCAACAAACCUCCAAGCACAACCGAAUGCAUGUCCACAAAAGGUAAAUGUUAACAUCCGACCACAAUACCAGACCAGUACCUCGACACCGGUGAAUUUCACGACAGGCUCAGGUUACAACCUUAGGGGAAAUCUAACUAGUCCCGUUGUCCUUGAUGAUCUAGCGGGAACAAAACAGGUGAGAGUAGAGCUCUCAAAACCAUUUGGAGAUCGUUACAAACAGAAAGGGCAAGAGUGGAAUCCUCAAAUCAAUACUUCGAGGGCCCCGAGGAAGAGGAAAGAUGACGUGAAUGAUGUGAGUAGGUAUAAUGAGGGUUAUUCAAAGCUGAUUACAACAAGCCAGAAAAGGACGGUUGAUUCUAGCCAUCAGAUCUCCCAGAGCAAGAAUUCGGCACAAAGAAAAACAUUGAGAAGUCCAAAUUUGUACCAAUCCCAAUGUCAUUUCGGGAGCUGUAUCAUAAUUUAUUUAACGCACACAUCGCCUCCCCUUUCUACUUGAAGCCUUUACAACCUCCGUACCCUAAAUGGUACGAAACGAAUGCACAAUGUGACUAUCAUGCAGGAAUUACGGGGCAUUCAAUAAAAGAUUGCGUUACCUUUAAAAAGGUGGUUGAAAGGCUCAUCAGUAUAGGCAUUGUCAAGUUCGAUACAAAAAAAUCUGCUGCCUAAUCAUAUUGAUAAUCGGGGUGAAUGCGAUGAAUGAGGAAAUAUUAGGAAACGUUCAAAUUAACGCUGUGCGAAGAAACAACUGAAGAAUGGACCUUGUUAGAUAUUUACCCGUACAUACUUAGGGGUGUUUUGAGCAAUGGGACUGUGGAAGAGAUCCCUGUAUUUUGUAGAGCUAAUUCUGAGUAAUAUCCAAAACACGCUUAUUGCUUUAAGCCUAGGGGCAAUAAGAAUCCUUUUGUGAGAUAGGCUUAUGUCCAACAUCUUUAUUUCAAUAAAAUGCAUCUUUGUUUCUCACUUCGAGCAAAUUUUUAUUCUUAGAUUCUUUUAUUCUUUGGAUAUACUUUCGUCCCUAUAAUAGGUCUUCAGAUAUCAAUGAUAUGAGCGACACUGCUAUUGACUCAGAACCUCCUUUUGAGCAAGAUAUGUGUCCAGAUUAAACUUCAAGACUUUGGAGAUAACUGAGACUGUAGCUUAUCUCUUAGUUUGUUAAGGACGGGAGAACAAGAUCCUACCUUACAAAGAAUCAAUGGAAGCCAUGGCCUUUCUCUGGAUGGGGCACGGAUGUCAUUAGGCCAAUCUCGCCUAAGGUUUUUGACGGCUAUCUUUAUAGUCAUCGAUUACUUAACCAAGUGGGCAGAAGUUGCUUCAUAUGUCAAUGUCGCAAAGUUAACAGUUUGUAAAUUCUUGAAAAAUCAUAUGUCAGUAUGGAAUGUCAAAAAGGAACAUAUCUGACAAUAUACUAAAAGUGAACAACGACACAAUAUCAGAAGUUUGCAGUCUGUUCAAGGUUAACACAUUUUGCCCUAGAAUGCACGGUGCAGUGGGAGCAAAAACAAAACAAAAAAGAGGAAAAAUUACUGCAAUGGCAACACAUUGGCUUAGCGCAGUUUUGCUCAUUGAGGUCAAGAUUCCUUCCCUCCGAGUGUUGGAUCAGAUCCCGAUUGAAGAGAAAUGUUCAAAGUUAUCCGUCUGGGUCAAAUACACCAAAAACAAAAGAUGCGAGCUCACCAAAGAAGGUUCACCCUAAAGAGUUCCAUGAAUGGAACCUAACAUCGAAGAAAAUCCUCCCCAUACAAAAAGGACUUUAUAAGAAAGAGGAUCUGAAAAAGUGUUGAUUUCGACCAGAAAGGAUAGCAAGGACUUACCUAAUCCUAUGAGUGCGGAUUCAAUCAAAGAAUGUAAAAAACAAACAAACAAACAAACGAAAAGAGAAAGAAAAGAAAAGAAGAAUGAAAAAAGAAAAAGGAGAGGCCAAGAUGAAAACCCGCAAAGGGCGCCUUGAGACCAAAGGGGUUUUGAAUUGAAAACCCAGGAAUGAGUAGUUCAAAUUUUGAUCAAAGGUGGGGCAUACGGUGGCCUUGUCCUUUCUGAAUUAGCAAGAAGGUGAGACGCUACAUCUCAGGCCAUCAACAAAGUCUUUUAGGGCUUCUAGACACAUAUCAAGUUCAAAAGAGUCCUCAAGAAGCUUAUACAGAAAAGCUCAUGCUGCGAUAUCUGGGGCACCUGUUUCCAUUUUAUUCAUUUUUAUUUUGGCAAAAUAUGCCAUCUUGAUUAAUUUAUUCUCAUUUCGUAUCUUAGCAAAUUUACUAUCUUGAUUAUUUAUUUCAAGCUUUGUUCUUAAUAAAAUUUCAUCUUGUCCAUUGUGAUAAUCCUUUUCAUCUUAUUCAUUUUGAAUCUUAGCAAAAUUCGCUGUUCUGCUUAAUUUAUUUGUUUAGAGCUCUGCUCUCAAUAAAAUUUCAUCUUUCCCACUAUGAUAAUCUUUUUCAUCUUAUCUUAGCAAAAUUUGUUAUCUUGAUUAAUUUAUUCAUUUUGAGCUUUGUUCUUAAUAAAAUUUCAUCUUAUCCAUAUUGAUAAUCUUUUUCAAGCAUUUUACAUUGAAAUAACGAUUAAUUGACUGAAUAUUCAAGCAAAAGGAGUUUUGCAUAUUACUCUGAAAGUUUCUAAAUAAUACAGGAACCUGAAAUAGGACUAUUGUUUAGAGCAUACCAAGUUUAAAGGGUGAAAUGUCUAAGAAGGAAAAGUCUAAAUUAAGACUAUCCUUUCGAACUUUGUUGUCCAAGCAUGAAUUGAACAAAACGAAAAAAUGUCGAGAUGGUGACAAAGUUUCAAUGAACAAACGAGCAAUGAUCACCGAGUGAUAAAAAGAGGUUUUUGGAAGAGAAAAUUCCACAAUCGUGCAUAAACAUUUGGUAUGACACCUUGGGAAUGGUGUAGAAGACCAAAGAGAUUCAGAUACUGUAUCCCUGAAUUACAGUGGGAGAGGAUUGAGAAAAGUCAGAUCUUAUACUCAGUGGGAGGAAGAUGGCUCGAAUUUUAUGCCCCAAAAUUACCAUGGACUUAACCUUGAAGAUUACAACGGAUUGAACUCUGAAGAUUACAGUAGGGGGCAAUCUGGCUAAGUAAGAGAUGAGUGUUACCAGCUGAGCAAGAUAGCAUUCUGAUAUGUUGGUAAUAAAACCUUAUUGAAUAACGAGCAAUAACAACCCUAACAUUAAAAAGGGAUCAUUCUCAUGACAUUCUGCAUUCAUGCAAAUAUAAUUCACAUACACACCUAGUUAGGAGCAUUUGAUUCGUUCUGAUCAUAAUAUCCUAAUCAUUAGGCAUAAAUAGAUUCAUAAAAUGGACUUUACAGGUCAUGUUCCCCAGAGAACAUAUUAAUAAAGUUACCCAUACCCCUAAAGUUGCAAUGGGAUGAAUUGAAGUUGUCAUAUCAAGUCUUAUCUCUCAGAAAUUACAGAGGAGUGGACUAGAGAUAGCAGAUCUUAUCUUCCUGUAUUUGGCAGCGAAGUAGAUCGUAGAUAGCAGAUCUUGUCUUCCUGUAUUUGGCAGCGAAGUAGAUCGUAGAUAGCAGAUCUUGUUUUCCUGUAUUUGGCAGCAGAGUAGAUCAUAGAUAGCAGAUCUUGUCUUCUUAUAUUUGGCAGCGGAAUAGAUCGAAGAUAGCAGAUCUUGCCUUCCUGUAUUUGGCAGCGAAGCGUAGAUAGCAGAUCUUGUCUUUCUGUAUUUGGCAGCGAAGUAGAUCGUAGAUAACAGAUCUUGUCUUCCUGUAUUUGGUAGAGGAGUAGAUCAUAGAUAGCAGAUCUUGUCUUCUUGUAUUUGGCAGCAGAGUAGAUCGAAGAUAGCAGAUAUUGUCUUCCUGUAUUUGGCAGCGAAGUAGAUUGAAGAUAACAGAUCUUGUCUUCCUGUAUUUGGCAAUAGAGUAGAUCGUAGAUAGUAGAUCUUGUCUUCCUGUAUUUGGCAGUGGAGUAGGUUAAAAAUUACUGAUUCUGUCACCUUAAGCAGUAGUGGAGCAGAUUAAAAGGAUGGAUCUUAUCUCUCCGAAGUUGCAGUAGAACAGAUCGCAUCAAACUUUAUUGAAGCUACAAGUCUUAUCUCACUGAGGUUGCAGUAGAAUAGACUGAAGAUAGCAGAUAUUAUCUCUCUGGAGUUGCAGUAGAGCAGACCACCAUGAUUUUAUCUCCCUAAAGUUGCAAUGGAGUGUACCAAAAUAAUAAAUCCUAUACCUCUGAAGUUGCAGUAGGUCGGACUAAAUCUACCAUAACAAAUCCUAUCUCCCUGAAGAUGCAGUGGAGCAAAUUGAAGACCGACUACAAGUCUUAUCUCCCUGAAGUUGUAGUGGAGCAGACUGUCGAUAACGGAUCUUAUCAUAUUAAAACCUUAUCUUCUUGAAGUUACGUGAAGCAGGUUGAAGCAACAAGUCUUAUCUCCCUGACGUUGCAGUAGAGUAGAUUAAAACCACGGAUCUCGUCCCCCUGAAGUUGCAAUAGAAUGGAUUGAAGCUACGAGCUGUAUCUCUCUGAAGUGCAGUGGAGUGGAUUGAAGCAACAAGACACAGUGGAUUGGAAUGAGGCUACCUGAAGAAGAGAAGCACUAGAAGAAGUCAAGACUCGGCGAGACCGGGUAAAUUUGGUCUUUCUUGGUCUUUGCUCUAUUCUCAUUACACGACAACGAGGAAAGAGGGGCAGCUGUACAAGCCCAAAUUUGCCCGGGGCCCAAGAACCCAAUGCACCCAAACCUCAGCUUAAUUACAAAUUUAACUCAGCAGACCCAACCCACCUAAACACCAACCCAACACCCAUGACCCAAACCUCAAUCCAAUAACACCUAGCCCAACAAGAUUAAACCCAAACCCGAGGCCCAAUAUCCAACCAAAAAAAAAUGAAGGCCCAGUAGCCCAACAUGUUUGAGACUUUUUCAGAAAAAAUGAAACCCUAGCCUACUGCCUAACCCUAGCCGCCUCUGCCUCCUCUAACAUCUUCUAGUAUGGCCGCCGCUCGUAGCCUCUGCCACCACCACCUUUGACGCCGAGCCGCCCGUCAAUCACCUACUCCAUCAACGUCAACACCUGCAAACAAGAGAAAAAGCAAUAGCAAAUAAUAGCAAAAAUAUUGUAAAAAAUGGCUAUAAAGCCAUAACCACCACUGUAAAUGGGGUACUCCCUCCCCCCCCGAUUUUUGUAUAAAAAAAUAUUAGCAGGGAAAUAAAGAAAAAAAGAUUGAAGGUGAUUUUUUCUUUUCUUUUCUUUUCGAUUUUGUAGACCCGUUUUUCUGUUCUCUUUUCUUUUUUCGUUUACACGUAUGUAAAUAAAGGUAGUAAAUAAAAGGAAAGAAUGAAGACUUACCCAUUUCGCCUUUCAGUUGCGCCGCCGUCGGGGUCUGCUCAUCGUUGAAAUCGGCCCCGAAAGGUCGAGUUAGGGGGUCCUUCGUCUUGAUUUUUGGGCCAAACGAAUAUAGCCUUCGAUUGGGUCUUAAAACGGGGACUAGAAUGCCCAUUUUGCGCAACGCCGGCCACUGUCCACGGUAGCGCUAUGGCGGCGCUAAGAAGACCCAAAGGCCGAACGUUUGAGAGGGAUGAGGAAAGGUUUUUUUUUGUUUUUUUUUAAAUUAGUGGCUGAAAUGUUUUAUAUUUUCAUAUAGUUUUUAUAUACAUAUAUAUAUAUAUUCUUAUAUGCACAUACUUAUGUUUUUUUUAUACUUUAUAUAUAUAUACACCUAAACAUGCAUACUUUUUUANNNNNNNNNNNNNNNNNNNNNNNNNNNNNNNNNNNNNNNNNNNNNNNNNNNNNNNNNNNNNNNNNNNNNNNNNNNNNNNNNNNNNNNNNNNNNNNNNNNNAAUUUAUAUUGUUAUUAAUUGUUUUAUUUGAUAUUUAUUUAUUUGCUUAUCAUUAUUUUUAUGAAAUGCUUUAGUUCUUUUUACUUACUCAUUAUUUCAUGUAUAAUUUUUUUUAUAUAUGUGUCCUUUUUAUUGUUGCUCGUAUUAUUUUACUUACAUUAUCAUAAUUGUCAUUCCAUUACGUUAAUUUUCACCCAGAUUCAAAAAAAGAAAUUUUAAAAAUAUAAAUAAUACUCGGUAUUUGGGAUCUUCGAGAGAAUCGAGUCCUAACGUAUUGGGUUCCGAUUUUCUUCGUUGAAUCUAAAUAAUUGAGACUACUCUUUUUUUAUAUAUAUAAAAAAACAUAAAUAAAAGCUCAUUAUCGGGAAUUCAAUACGUUGUGUCCUAACGCAUUGGAUAUGAUACAUUGUUUUCUCGAGAUGAGGAUUUUUCUAAAAAAAUAAAAAUAAGGCAAUGUUUUGAGUUUGGGAAAUUCGAGAAAACGUGCCCUAAUGUGCUGGGUUUCGAUUUCUCGUUUAGCCAAAUAUUCUCUUAAAUCUUAAUCUAUGUCAUUUAAGUUUUUUUAGGAUCGUAUUUUAAAUCUCUUUAAAGUUUUCAGUUUUUCGACGCUAAGACAUUAAGUAAUCAACUAGGUACCAAUUUUGGGCGUAUCGAGCGUGCUAAUCCUUCCUCGUGCGUAACCGACUCCCGAACCCGUUUUUCUGAAUUUCGUGGACCAAACUUGUUGUUUUAAUAAAAUCAAAUCAUUUAUUAAAACAACCACUUUUUGAGGUGAUCCGAUCACACCUUAUCAAAAAAGAUUGGUGGCGACUCCCACUUUCGUUUUCAUUUUUCAAAACCCAAGUCGACCCCUUUUUAUCAAAAAAAUGGUGUCAACAACAAUAACAAUAGAAGCACAUCAAAGUCAAAGCACAUAGGCUUUAAGUUCAUUGUUAUUAUAAUAAAAGUUCAGGGUGGUUAGAUGUCUAUAAAGUAUAUUGAGACGAACUCCAUGAUUACGGAUUCGCUUAUUAAGUGACUACCACCCAAAGUUUUUUUCCUGAGCACACUGUUGAUAUGGGUGUAAUGUCAUUUAAGAAUAUUUGAUUUUAGUAGGAGUUUGUACUUUUAAAUGUUUUUAUGUUAUAAACACAUUUUCAAUUAUUUUAGUUUACGAAUAUUAAGUUUAUUUUUUAUAGAAAUAAAGUUUUUUUGGUAAAGUUUGAUCUCACUAAGGUUAAUAAGGACCAGUUAGAAUAUGCAUGUUUGAAUCAUAUUACAUAUAAUUUUCAUGUUACACAUCCAUACUUGAUCUAUGUCAUUUGGUUGUGCUAAUAUAUGUGAUUAGGGAUGUAUUUAAUUAUGAUAUAUGUAACAAAAGUUGCAUUCGUUCUAUGUUAACAUAAUUAAUGGACGAGAUUGUUCGAAAUAUCUUUUGGAUAUGAUAGUAAAAUUUUGAGCUCAUAAGAUUAUAUAAUAACAUGUAAUUAUAAAGUAAUCGGUAUAUAUCAAAAGUCUUUCCCACAUUCAUCAACUAGAAAUCAGAGCUCACCAAAUGUCUAUUCUUUUCAAUCUGAACCGACUCUACAAUCACUUAUUGCUCAUGGUCAUCAGCCUAUAAACCCAGGAGCAUUGUUAACUUCUAAAUCCAAAACACUAAUAUCAGCAUCCAACCCUACAAUGAUAGUCUUAUUGACUCAUUUAAACAAGUUUCCUUUGUCAAUCUAUAUUCCGUAUUUGGUAAUCUCCAGUAUGAAUUCAGAAUUUAGGAUAGCUGGAAUAAGAAUAGCAGCAAAGAUGCAAAGGGAAACGACUUGUAGGAGGAGGAAGAACCUUCUUUUGGGUACAGACCUGUAUAGCAUAUAAUAGGAUGUCCUGUAUAAUGUCACGAGAGCUAGUACCGUUGCCAAGCAGUAAUUAGUAAUGCUGAGUCUAGAAUAGGAAACGGAUCCAGGAGUCGAAAGAGAGAAAAAAUACUGAAGUUCGAGUGUCCGUAUGGAAACAGCAACUAAAAGCAUGUAACAGGUCCCAAACAAGGAAAGUGUUAUGAGAAUAAACAAGCAGAUUGAACGGCUGGGUAGGAGAUAGGCAGUUAAAACAGUUGCUGCCCAAAAGGUUAAAGUGUUGUAUAACCAAAACAUUGUGGACACGUCUAGUAUAUUUUUUAAAUCUUCUUUUUCAGCGGGUGGAGGACUUGGUACGGGUCCAGUGCUGGUUGAACCUAAAGAUGCGUCAUACAUGAGAUGGAAAUUCUGGGAAUUUGAAAUGGUAUCAGGCUGCUUUGGAGGGUUCAAAGUGGCAGUAUAUGUGGCUGUUAUAAUUAGCACUGUGACUACUAAAAAUGUGUUACGCAUCUCAUAUGGGAUUCCCUUCUUUCCACGACUUGCUAUUGUUGCAAAAUUUUGAAGAACUGACACCUUUCCUUUUAAAUAUGCGAUGUGGAAUGAAGAGAUGGAGGUUUUGGGAAGCGAGGAAGAGGAACCACUCAAACCUCCUGCUUUGCUUAUCAUGUCUUUAAUGGACUCCUUAUAGUCCACUUUCUCUUCAUCCAAUGUGUAUUGUGAUGGGAUAUCAAGUGCAGUCAAUCCCUCCGCAUUUUUGGCAUUGAUAUGGUCACCACACAAGCGUUCCAGCAGUACUUUUACCACCUGUUAAUUAGAAUAUUCAUACAAGUAACCUUUGAGUAUAUAUAUACAUAAAAAAUUUCACUAGCAAAAUUAUCAUACCUGAGGUCUAUUUCUGAUAGCAGCAACAUGUAAAACAGUGUUGCCAUCAAUGUCUGCCCAACUCAGUAGUUCUUUCUCCCAACGGCUGGCAGCUUUAUGGCGGCUCCUUAUAAGCCACCCCACCAAGACUUGGAAAGCUUCAAACCUGUCAUUUUUUACGGCAAGAUGGAAAACCGUCUCAUCUCGAACAGUCAUAUCUUCAAUAGCCUCGGGGCAAACCUCAAGGAACUUGAUCAAAAAAUCAACAUUUCCAUUUUGAACCACAUCAUGCAAAGGAGUCAAGCCCUCCCGCCCUUUGACACGAGCAAGGCCUUCAUCAAACCUGAGGAGUCGAAGCACUGUUUGAGUUUUUUGAUUUUGCAGAGCCAAGUGCAUGGGGCUAAACCCAGCUUGGUUUAGCUUUCUUGCAAACGAUGGCUUUAAGUUGAUCAUCUCCAUCAUAAAAUCAAUAUGCCCUGCAGAGGCUGCUACAUGCAAAGGAGUAUGGAAAAAAGGUACAUCAUCGAUACGCUGUAAAGCAUAUGGAUCAUUCAGAAUUAACUCAUACAAGAUGUUUAUGUCUCCUGUUUGUGCAGCCCCCUUCAUCCUCUCAUCCAUAGCAAGGUGCGGAAAUUUGCAGAAUAUAGAAAUGGAGUGAAGAAAAAACGCUUUAGCAGAGGAUAUGAUUAUGUUAAGGAUA